UGGGGAAUAUUGGACAAUGGGGGCAACCCUGAUCCAGCAAUGCCGCGUGUGUGAAGAAGGUCUUCGGAUUGUAAAGCACUUUCGACGGGGACGAUGAUGACGGUACCCGUAGAAGAAGCCCCGGCUAACUUCGUGCCAGCAGCCGCGGUAAUACGAAGGGGGCUAGCGUUGCUCGGAAUGACUGGGCGUAAAGGGCGUGUAGGCGGUUUACACAGUCAGAUGUGAAAUCCCCGGGCUUAACCUGGGAGCUGCAUUUGAUACGUGUAGACUAGAGUGUGAGAGAGGGUUGUGGAAUUCCCAGUGUAGAGGUGAAAUUCGUGGAUAUUGGGAAGAACACCGGUGGCGAAGGCGGCAACCUGGCUCAUUACUGACGCUGAGGCGCGAAAGCGUGGGGAGCAAACAGGAUUAGAUACCCGUGGUAGUCCACGCUGUAAACGAUGUGUGCUAGAUGUUGGGUAACUUUGUUAUUGCAGUGU
This 476-nucleotide ribosomal RNA is filed under the name uncultured bacterium. Its description in RNAcentral is "partial 16S ribosomal RNA". It matches the Rfam family "Bacterial small subunit ribosomal RNA", at positions 355 to 846 of the family's 1533-position model. The record is from RNAcentral.